AGUUUGCACUGUCUGAAAGCUUGGUCUAUCCAUCCUCCAUCAAGACUUACCCAGUACUUCUGAUGUACCUUUCCUGACUCCCCUUGUAUUGUUCAAUUAUGAUAAUUAUAAUAUGAUGUACUUAGCUCUUACCUCGGGUCAGGAAACGCACUUUUCCUUAGAAGAAAGAAUGAGAUCACAGUAAAAAACAAGAGACUGGACAAAGACUUGGCUUGUCAUCAUGGCUCCAUUAUUUACCAGGUAUGCAAACUUUGGUGCCUUAAAACCUCUCCCUGCUUCACUUUCCUCCUCUGAAAUGUGAAGAUGGAGUACCCGCACCUACCUACCUUUGUACUUUUACCCCAGACCAGCCAAUGGUCGAGUCAGGCCAGCAAGCAGGAACGUUCCCACAGCUAAAGCUAGAAUCGUUUCUCUCUUCUUCUUAAAACAACCACGUUGCUUCGUAAGAACGAGAGACAGCAGUGAUGCUUUCGGAGAAGACAGUGGCACCCCACUCCAGUACUCUUGCCUGGAAAAUCCCAUGGACGGAGGAGUCUGGUGGGCUGCAGUCCAUGGGGUCGCUAAGAGUCAGACACGACUGAGCGACUUCACUUUCACUUUUCACUUUCGUGCAUUGGAGAAGGAAAUGGCAACCCACUCCAGUGUUCUUGCCUGGAGAAUCCCAGGGACGGGGGAGCCUGGUGGGCUGCCGUCUAUGGGGUCGCACAGAGUCGGACACGACUGAAGUGACUUAGCAGCAGCAGCAGCAGCGAUGCUUUAUCAGGAAAAUGGCAGAUCCAUCUGUUCCUUGUUGAUGGUCGAUUUAGCCAACAAAGAAGGGCAGGCCUGCUCAUACGUCUUUAUAAUCACUACAAAAUGACUAACAUGAGAAAGAUAAUUUUUCAAAACUCUACUUUUUAGCAUGACAACUAUCGUAUUUAUUAGAAAAUAAAUGUCUCCAAUGCUAUGCUUCUCCCUAACAAGAUCCAUAUGCAGAAAGGUUAGCCACAGAAAAAGCAAAUCUACUUGUCAGGUAGAUUUCUACUUGUCAAGGUCAGGUUCUCAAGGAGAUAAAGCCCACUUUCAUUUUUCAGCGCAAGGAAAUUCUCCCUUGAUCAUCUGUAGAAAUGCUUGUUCGUGAGGCCGCACUUGCAGAGAUUCCUGGUGGAGAACCCUGAGGGGUGCAGCUGCAUUUCCACACCAACCAGGAAAUGCCACUUGCCAGUGUCAACUGGGGCCGCAUUGUUGUAAGCGGGGCAGCCUCUCUUAUCAGGCGUAGGCCAGCGAAAGAGGAAAGUGGAAAUCUCAGAAGCGCACCUCUGGAGAGCAAAGCAAGUGCCGUAUCAGUGUGGAUUGUGUUAGAAGGAUGGACAUUCUGACUGAUAACCAAUCUGACGGGUCCUUUUGCUCUUUAAAAAAAGGAAAAGGAACUGCAGGGCCUUGUAGGAAAGGAAACUGCCAGUGAGCCCAAUCUACACAGAAAUCAAUUUCACACGGCCAUAAUUCAAGGAAAUAGGGCGGCAGACAAGGAGCUGAACCAGGAGCAGAAGCAGGUUAAGCUGAGCCCCCACCUCCCACCCGGUGAAGCACCCUCCCUCAGAACCCGUCCAUCAGGAAGCAGCAUCACCUAAGAACAUAAAUGCCUGCACUGAAGCUUAGCAUCCAGUCCAGCUGUUCCAACAGACCAAUUGGAAGUACAAGAAUCAAAAAUAGGUUUGCAGAGAGAUGAUCUCUUCUCCCAUAAUAAAUUCAGCAUUUGCUGACAAAGAAAGACUGGCAAUGUCUUUCCCUUUAAUGAACAUACUCGGAGGCUCACACACUAAUCCC
Long non-coding RNA from Bos taurus (domestic cattle), 1806 nucleotides. The record is from Ensembl. NCBI's taxonomy places the organism in Eukaryota, Metazoa, Chordata, Mammalia, Artiodactyla, Bovidae.